Molecule: long non-coding RNA, 381 nt
Organism: Hypanus sabinus (Atlantic stingray)
Lineage: Eukaryota; Metazoa; Chordata; Chondrichthyes; Myliobatiformes; Dasyatidae
Exons: 3
Source: RefSeq, a predicted model, not a curated record
GGCCGGUAACCGCCAAUGAGCGCGGAGCACGAGCGGGAAGGAGGCGGGGGCGGUAACGGCGGCGCUCGGUGAGCUCCAAGCCCACAAGAUGGAGGGGUGCGGAUCGUGAUGCUCAACCCAGCAUGGAUGGAAAGCAUGCAAGGAGCCAGCUGGAUUCAAACCUGCAACCAGUCGCCUUGAAGUCCAAUACAGAUGUCUCUACAACACUAGCUUGCUAAUGGGAAGCAUACUGGGCACUAAUAAAGAGCAUCACGACUGAAAUCGACUUUGGAAAAUAUCUCAUGGUGUAUUCUAGUGUGCCACCAUCUUGGAUUUUCAAACUGAUAACACUUGGCGACCACAAUUUCAUUUCAGAAGAUACUAUUUUUCCAACUUUCAAAC